Molecule: unclassified non-coding RNA, 254 nt
Filed under: Hevea brasiliensis (rubber tree)
Lineage: Eukaryota; Viridiplantae; Streptophyta; Magnoliopsida; Malpighiales; Euphorbiaceae
Source: RNAcentral
UACACACUGUUUUUUCAUAUUACAUAUGGAUCAUCACUACUCAGGCUGCCUUCACAGCUGCAGUGGUUGCAACUUCUGUUGUUGGAAUGGCUUUGAGAAUGAUUUCAACAUUGUCAUGAACUCCUUGCAGCAACAACUCACCAUCAUAACUCACUAUUUUUCUCUUCUUUGCUGCUCUUAGCGUCCCGACCAGCGCUUCAAAUAUAUUAGCACAUCUAUCAUCAUUGAACAACACCCCAAAUGUUACCUUGUAA